GUUAGUAACGCGUGGGAACGUGCCCUUCUCUAAGGAAUAGCCACUGGAAACGGUGAGUAAUACCUUAUACGCCCUUCGGGGGAAAGAUUUAUCGGAGAAGGAUCGGCCCGCGUUAGAUUAGGUAGUUGGUGGGGUAAUGGCCUACCAAGCCUACGAUCUAUAGCUGGUUUUAGAGGAUGAUCAGCAACACUGGGACUGAGACACGGCCCAGACUCCUACGGGAGGCAGCAGUGGGGAAUCUUGGACAAUGGGCGCAAGCCUGAUCCAGCCAUGCCGCGUGAGUGAUGAAGGCCUUAGGGUCGUAAAGCUCUUUCGCCAGGGAUGAUAAUGACAGUACCUGGUAAAGAAACCCCGGCUAACUCCGUGCCAGCAGCCGCGGUAAUACGGAGGGGGUUAGCGUUGUUCGGAAUUACUGGGCGUAAAGCGCGCGUAGGCGGAUCAGAAAGUUGGGGGUGAAAUCCCGGGGCUCAACCCCGGAACUGCCUCCAAAACUCCUGGUCU
This 501-nucleotide ribosomal RNA is filed under the name Phaeobacter sp. WH182. Its description in RNAcentral is "bacterial SSU rRNA". It matches the Rfam family "Bacterial small subunit ribosomal RNA", at positions 106 to 642 of the family's 1533-position model. Lineage: Bacteria; Pseudomonadati; Pseudomonadota; Alphaproteobacteria; Rhodobacterales; Roseobacteraceae. The record is from RNAcentral.